Molecule: long non-coding RNA, 5874 nt
Filed under: Sus scrofa (pig)
Lineage: Eukaryota; Metazoa; Chordata; Mammalia; Artiodactyla; Suidae
Description: lncRNA (ENSSSCG00005012503.1)
Source: RNAcentral
GGGAAAUAUAUUUUAAUGGCCAAGACAGGGUACAGUAAUCACAUGAAUUAUUUCCCCCUCUUUAAACUGUCAGACAACUGCAUAAUGAAAAUGUCAGAGAUCGCUCAGCUUCCUGUCGCAAGCAAUAGCCUUAGACGAGCUGCUGGCAGCAAGUUAACGUGAACAUACAUAUUUAGCUUUGUAAGCAUACUGGAAGGUAAGCACAUUAUUUUCCUCCAGCUAUAUAAAAUAAAAACAAGAAAAGGUCAUUGAUUAAUAUUUGCCCUUGGCUGAAGUCAUUGCACCCCUUUUUAAAAAAAAAAAUCCUGUAUUACAAAAACACUUUUUAAAAAAUCGAAGAUCCAGUGCUUAAUGGUCCUGCAAGUACACUAUAAUUCACCGGUACACUUUCAGAAUGACAUGAAAUGAUCAUUAGUGAAUAAUGGGAUUAAGAAGACCACCAGAUGUUAUUUAUAUCUCACUCCAAUGUGCUGUUAAGAAUGACUCCACUUCACACUGUAUUUACGUAUCAAAGUCCUUAACUUCUCUUUUGUCGAAAUCUUUGUAACAACGGUACCGUUGGUCUUACCCGUCAUUUCCCCUCUAGGAAACACAAAAAUAGCACAUUAAUUUGAUAAAAAAAAGAACAGAAAUUUGUGGUUAUGUUAUGUUCUUCAGACGCCAACACUCAUUUAUCUUUUGGCUGAAUUUGCCCAGGAAGUGUUUUUAUCAUAUUUACACGCUUUGUAACUUAGUUAUGUCCACAACAGUCCCUCCAGAGGGAAUUCAUUAGAAUUUGUGUUUUACCCUGGAGAAUACAUUGCUUCUCCCCUUUAUAAUUACUGCAUUACUAUGGAUCCCAUUAGCAUCAUUAUAUAGCUUCCACCUCUACCUGCUGGAGGAGAGCAUUGUACUCAGUCACACCUUCUCCGCACUGCUCAAAGUUUUAUUUUCAAAUGAUAACUGUAACCAGUCGACUAAAUUUAGCAAGUUAAAAAUUUUAUGGAGGCUAAAAAGGGAUAGUGAGGAACAAGCCUGGGGGAUGGAUACUUUAGGGUAAAAAAAUUAUUUCCCCAAAGAUCUUUAGCUGUAGGUUACUUUUUUUUUUUUUAAGGCUUAUUGAUUGAUUGAUUGAUUGAUUGAUUGCACCCACGGCAUAUGGAAGUUCUCAGGCUAAGGGCUGAGUCAGAGCUGCAGGUGCUGGCCUACACCACGGCUACAACCAUGCAGGAUCCAAGCUGUGUCUGUGACCUACACCACAGCUCAUGGCAACCCUGGAUCCUUCACCCACUGAGUGGGGCCAGGGAUCGAACCUGCAUCCUCAGGGAUCUUAGUUGGGUUCGUGACUGCUGAGCCAUGACGGGAACUCCCUGUAGGAUACUUCUUGAAGUACCUGAAGUAAGUAUAAUCUUAAGAGUAACUUUUAAAGAUUUUACCAAAGUCAACUAAUACUUAAUUACAAAUAUUUUCAGUGGUGUACUGUGAUCUCUUUGCCAUUCUUCUGUAUUUCAGCUUGUCUUGUUUUCCCCUCUUGGAUUGAUUUUUUACAAGCCCUCUCAAAACUUGUUACUCAGGGAAUACCAGACAAACUAUGUGGGAACUUCAGUCCCUAAAGUUGGAAGACAGAAAUAAUUAAGGACACUGGAAUAAAAGCAUUAUUACCAGUUGCCAGCUGUUACCAAGCAUCCAUCUGAGCAAAGAGCCAGGCAAAUGAUAAAAUAUAGAGAAUAUAUCUUUCCAAAAUAAAAAUAGCUUUAUUGUUUUAUGAUAAUAAAAGCAAUACAUACUCAUUACAAAAAAUUUCAAAUACACAAAAGUCUAAAGAAAGUAAAGUUCACCCAGACACCACAGCCCAGAAACAAACCAUUAAUUUUUUUAGUAAAGAUUUCCCUUUGAAAUAUAUUAUUUAACAAUAUCUAAUGUUAUAAAUGGGGCCAUAUCAAAUAUGCUAUUCUGUGGUCUGCUUUUUCAUUCAAUAAUAUUUCAGGGAUAGAUUUUUCCAUGGCAAUAAACACAAACCUAAAUAGUUUUUAAUUAGACAGUUGCAAACAACUAUGUAUUUGUGCUAUAAUUUAUUUAACCCAUCUUCUAUUGAAGGAUAUUUAGCCUGUUUCCAAUACAUUAACAUCAUAAACAUUAAAAAGUACAGCUUCACCUUUCACACUUGUGAUAUUUUUAAUCAUUAGGAUAAAUUCCUAAAUAAACUGCUGGAUAAAAGGGUAUCACCAUUUAAAGUUUUUUUUUUUUUGGAUUAAAGUAUAGUGGAUGUACAAUGUUGUGCCAAUUUCUGCUGUACAGCAAAGAGACCCAGUCACGCACAUAUACAUAUACAUACCCUUUCUUAUCUUCCAUCACGGUCUACCCCAAGAGACUGGAUAUAGUUCCCUGCACUAUACUGCAGGACCUCAGUGCUUAUCCAUUCUAAAUGUAAUAGCUUGCAUCCACUAACCCCAAACCCCCAGGCCAUCCACUCCCACCGCCUUUCCCUUGGCAACCCAAGUCUGUUCUCUAUGUCUGGUAUUAACGUUUAAAGUUUUGAUACAUGUUGCCUUCUAGAGAGGUUGUGCCAAUUCCUACUCCUGCCAACAGUGGACGAGAAUGCCCAUUUGCCCAUAUUCCUGUCAACUGUCUUAAUCUUUGCCCAUCUGGAAGGACAAAAUUAAUACUUAAAAAUAAUAAAAACAUAUUUAUUAGCUGUUUUCAUUUUCAAAUAGGGGAUACUUUUACUUUUUUAAGUUACUCCUUCUCACAGCAGAUAUUUCUUGGGCUUAAAUAAAGAAUUUUCAGUUUGCGUCCCCAGUCCAUCAUAAAUAUGACUCAGGAUAAGAGUCAACUUCUUUGGAGUUCCCUUGUGGUGCAGCAGGUUAAGGAUCUGGUGUCACUUCAGCGGCUUAGGUUGCUGCUAUGGCACAGGUUCAAUCCCUGGUCUAGAAAUUUUCACAUACCACAGGAGCACCCCAAAAUAAAAAAAGGAAUCAACUUCUCUAAACCUCAUUUUCCUUGAUCUUACAGUAACAGAGCCCAGCUCAAUAGAUGUCAUGUGAAUGCAGCUAGCACAGUACUAAAUAUGUCAAUAUGGACUGAGUCUGAAUCUCCCGCUAGUACCUUCUUGCCCUCAAUCCCAAUUGACAUUAGUCUAUAAGAAAAUUUUAAAAUUAAGGAGCCACUGAAAAACAUUAGAAAUGUUCUCUUGCUAUUUAUAGAGAUGAUCAUAAAAGUCUGCAAUGAAGCAGAUGACAUCAACAAAAAGCUCUUAAGUGAAGGUUUGGUGGCAAUGCAGGUUUGGUAGGCAUAUUUGGAAUAAAAAUGCCUCACAAGAAAAUACUUGCAAUCAAGCCCAAUGUACUAUCAUGCAUACAUAAAUAAUGUGGAAAAGAGGCAAGCAAAAUACAACAAACAUCAGCUUAUUCCCUGUAAAGUGUUGGCUUAUCAUUGCAUAGACAUGGUUUGGGAAUGCUUUUCAUCAUGAAACAAAUUUAUGAGCAACAUACACAACUUCUAGUUCCUCUUUUCAAAGAUACCUCAGAUAUUAAUAUUUGAAACUAAUCACCUUCAUCCAAGAAUGGUGAAAAGGAACCAUUUAAGUAAAUGACUGAUGACAGUCUGGGUAUCACAAAGACAGAGUUUGGGUACAAUCUAAAUGCAACUGUUGAUACACUUGAUACCAGUGAGUCUGAAGACAUUUUGAAGGAUUAACUGAUUCAUUCAUUUUACAAAUAUUUGUUGGGCCAUACUAUGUACCAGAUACAGUGCUAGCCAUUAGGGAUACCAAAAUGAGCCUCUGUGCUCAGGGAAGAUUCAGUUUUGGGGAGGAAAGAGGAGUCAACUGGCAGUUCCAGUAUGGGUGAUGGUGAGGUGAGGCACAUGUAGACACUUCAGACGUCUCAGCAGAAGCCUCCUGAAGAUGCCAUCAGCAGCCCAAUGAAUGCCCUGAAGAAUUACAGGUCAAUGGGAGAGCAGGUGCUAUUAUGAUUGCCAGAAGGUAUGCCAUAGACAUCAGAAGCAAAGCAAUAGCCUACCACAGAGACAGCAGCUAUACUACAGACAAGAAGAAAACCCCUCUGAAUCCCUACAAAAGAGCUGGUAGAGAAGCCAGGGUCCAUGUCCAGAGAAUACUCUGAGAUGGUUUAGCCUGGCUGGUCCCACGGAGAGCUUCCAGUUAGUGUUAGAAUUGAGAUUAAAAAUCUCCCACAGCCACUUCCUGUCCAUCUGCUCAUUCAUUUACUCACUCAUAUGUAAGUUCCAUGAGGGCAAGAAUUUUGGUUGGCUUCGGUUUUCACUUGUAUCCCCUGCUCCUAGUACAGUGCCUGACACGGAGGAGGCCAUUGAUAAAUAUUUAUUGAAUGAGUGGAUCAAUGAAUUCAUUUAAUUCACAUGAAGUGAUUGCAAAAGUGGGUGCCUGAAGCAGAGGGGCAGAAUAAUGAAAAAGACAGGAGACACAGCAAGGCUCCUAUGCCUACUGAAAAUUUCGGGAAUCAACAAAGGACCUCUUCCUGGGGGCCUGAAUCUGCAGUGGCUUCUUUGUGGCACGGUGAGCAUAAGAAAGGGCAUGGACUUUGCAGUCAGGCAGUUGUGGGUUCAAAUCCUGGCUCCUCCAGAUCUGGGAGGCCCUUAGGCAAGUUACCCAUCCUCCCUGAGUCAGUUUCCACAUCUAUUAAAAUGGGAUUCAUAACUUUAGGGUGGCGGUAAAGGUUAAGUAGGAAAAAACAUGUACAGCUCUGGACCUGGUUUGCUUUGCCCGUGCUUCCGGCCUCAGAGAUAGGGUGCUGCCAAUAGCUCUGGUAGACCUAUGCACCCCCAAGUUCCGGGAUAUCCAUCCUGGAGUGCUUCCUGGGCACCCUUCUCUUUCUCUAAAUCCCUUCUUUCCAGGGAGCCUCACAAGAGCCUUCUUAUCUCGUUAAAAGUGCACAGUGAUCUCUGUCUCCCCCUGGCCUUUCAGCCCUUGCUUUCGGUUCCACUAGAUUAUAGUUCAAAUAACAGACACCACGGAACGGUUAACUUGGGUGGAUGCCUUUUUGUCCUUACUAUAACACUUGCUCCUUACCUGGUACCCAGCAGCUAACACAGGGCCUUGAUUCUGGCAGAUGCUUCAUACAUGCUACCCAGUUAAGCCUUGCUUCCUACUCAUUGUCCCUCAGGUCAUAAAAGCUGUUCUACACAAGCUGAUGGAUGAUUCCAUGAAACUUCACUAUCAGGCAGAUCAUUAAAACAAUUCUCCAGACACCAAUAAAGCUGAUUAUGUCAGAAAUCCCAUACCUAAUUUUCACAAACAACAAAACACACUCUUCAUGUUUUAGGGAAUUGUAAAAAACCUAUCAAGUAAAUAGGAUUUGCCUGGAGGACUGGCCAUGGUGAAUUAUACGAAAGAAGGUGAGUGAAAUUCUUUAUUAAUUUGUUUGGUGAUCAGAAAAUACACUUAGGGGCUCAUUCUUGGUUUCUUCAUGUGUCUUAGAUACCACGAAGGGAUCUUUUUACUGCCUAUAGCAAGACUCAAGGUUUAAUUUCUAUCAGUUAUUCACUUGACAAGAAGGUAAAUCUAGCAAGGAGAACUGGAUUGCUCAAUAGCAAAUUCUGGUAACGUCUAGCCACAGUGGUAUCUGCUUACCAUUAAUCAAGCUAUUGCCAGCUAAUAAGAUCUUGAAGAUGUCCAAAAUAGUCACAUCCUAGAAAGAGGAUCUAGUCAAAGAGACCCUUGAUUAAUAAUAUUUCUAAAGCUUCUACUCAAUGCUAAGCAAAACUGUAUAUAAUAGGGUUGGGGCUACAAUAUGUGUUUUUACCAAACCUUCCACAUCAUUGUGACGAACAUUAAAGUUUCAAAAGCACUGCUUCAACUAAGCAAGUUCAAAUCAACACCGUACCAACAGAUCACACGUUCUGAAUUAACAGCGGGGACCC